This is an RNA transcript of Dioscorea cayenensis subsp. rotundata (Guinea yam), 1753 nucleotides long. RefSeq lists it as uncharacterized. The transcript has 3 exons. NCBI's taxonomy places the organism in Eukaryota, Viridiplantae, Streptophyta, Magnoliopsida, Dioscoreales, Dioscoreaceae. The record is from RefSeq and is a predicted model, not a curated record.
AUAAAAGCUCUCGUUUAGGGCUUCCGAGGUUCGCCAUCACUGUCCUCUUCUCUUCUUCCUUUUGGCCUCUCCUCUUCCGAUCUCUCUCUCUAUCUCUAUCUCUAUCUAGGGUUUCCAUUUCUUCAUGCUUUCAUCUUGAUCUUUGUGGGAUUUCGAGGGAGAUUCAAGCUAGUAGCUGGGUAUGUGACAAUGCCGGCGACGGACUACCAGGGCUCGUCGUCGCCGUUCGCGUCGAUUGGGCGGUCCAUCCUUAGCAUACGACGAGAUCAGGUGCACUCCAUGGAUAGUCACCAUGAGCAUGGCUCUAGCCAAGAGAAGGAGCUUGACGGAUUCCAACGCCAUGCUGCUGAUCUCCUCCUUGACCUCGCCGGCGGAGGUGGCGGUGGAGAGGAGCUCUUGUCGCUGCCGUGGAUUCGCAAGCUAUUGAAUGUGUUCGUGAUUUGCCAAGAAGAGUUCCGAGUGAUUCUCUUCAACAAUCGCGCUUGUGUUAGCCGUGCCCCCGUCGAUCGCCUCAUCUCUGAGUUCUUUGAGCGCAACGUCAAAGCCCUAGACGUUUGCAACGCCAUCCGUGAUGGGAUCGAGCAGGUGCGGCAAUGGCACAAACACCUUGAGAUCGUCACCGUCGCGCUUGACCCUAGUCUCAGGACUAUUGGCGAAGGCCAGCUCCGGCGGGCCAAGAAAGCCCUGGCUGACCUCGCCGUCGGGAUGCUUGAAGAGAAAGACGUUGCUGGGUCUGCCCUCGCACAUCGCAAUCGCAAUCGCUCCUUCGGCCGGAGCAAUCAUGCGUCGUCAAGCCGGGACCACCAUCGUCACCCUGGAGGUCACUUCCGGUCUCUCUCAUGGAGCGUGUCUCGGUCCUGGUCCGCUGCAAGGCAGCUCCAGGCCAUUGGGAACAACCUGUCCGCUCCUCGCGGGCAUGAGAUCGUCGCAAGCAAUGGGCUUGCUGUGCCAGUGUUCACAAUGAGCUCGGUGCUUCUCUUUGUUAUGUGGGCUCUUGUUGCAGCGAUCCCUUGCCAAGAUCGCGGCCUCCAAACCCAUUUCUCCUUCUCCCGUAGCUUCUCAUGGGCGUCUCCGAUCCUUUCCAUGCAUGAGAGGAUCAUGGAGGAGUCCAAGAAGAGGGAGAGGAAGAACUCUAAUGGAUUGUUGAAGGAAAUUCAUCAAAUUGAGAAGUGUGCCAGGCAAUUGUCUGAAUUGAUGGACGCUGCUCACUUUCCUUUACCAGUGAAUAAGGAGAUGGAAAUAAGGCAGGUGACUCAGGAAUUAACCCAAAUUGUCAAUACUAUGCGGGAAGAGUUGGACUUGCUGGAACGCCAGGUGAGGGAGGUGUUCCAUAGGAUCAUUCGUAGCCGAACUGAAGGGUUGAGAAGAAAUGAAUGAUGAGAUGAAUUAAGAUGAAGCAUUGGAAUCCAUCGACUAAGGUUUAUGCAGGGACCAGGCUAGUGUAUAUGUCAAUAAAGAUCAUCUAUUGGGAGGCGGGGGAAGAAUAUCAAAUGUUCAAUCAAAGCAGGGGAGAAGUUAAUUAAUGGUGGUUCUCCUAUCAAAUUAAUUAGUAUCCCUGGAUACGUUUAUUUCUGAUAUUAUUUGGAAUGGUUGAUGUGCUUUUUGACUUGCUUGUCCCAUAUGCUGAGUGUUGGCUAGGGUCAUAUCAUAUUUCUUAUUGCUUGCUUCCAUCUCAAGUAUAAAGGUAACGUUUACAGACUAACAAUCUUGUGUAGGUACCUGGUAGGUAAAUGAAAAGGACUAGAAGCCCAAA